AUGAUAAGUUUACUGAUGGCGAGGCAGCAGCAGUGGAGGCGAGCGGGGAAAGCGGGCGCGGCGGGCAGUCAGCUGUGAGGCGGUGGUGCGGUGAGACGGGAGCAGGUGAGGGCGUGCGGCGCUUACAUUCAUCCACCCCGUAACAGCACAUUAUUGACUGCGUGGCAAACAGACCAUGACAAGGGACACCUGAGGGACAAGAGGACUUACUAUCUACGUAUCUUGCACCUGAAGCAGUAGCACCCACGAUGACAGAAAACGGGGGGCUUGCGACGCCUCCCCGGGCCACCAAAGAAAAUGGGGAAGAGGUUGCCAGCGAUGCGGAGGACUAUAAGGAACUGUACCUGCAGGAGAUGGAGAAGAGGAAGACGGUGAUGAAGCUGGCGCAGAAAGCCACGCGGGACUACGAUGACCUGAAGCAACAGUACUCAGGUGACCCAGACCGCCGAGCUGCUGAAGGUGCGCCUGGAGGAGCGAGAACAUGACCUCCACAACCUGCAAACCGGUGAGUGUCAAGUGUUUGUUCCUCUCACGCCCGGCUGCUUUCCGCUGCUUUUUUCGUCCUUUCUGAUAAGCGAUACGAGAGAGGAACUUGGUAUCAUUGAAUUAUUGUUUUUCUCUACUUUAUUCAAGGUUACAAAUGGAUGAUAACGGAGAUAGAGGGAUGUAAUAGAAAUAGAGAUAUAGAGAAGUUAGCACAUUUUUCUUUCCAAGGGUAUGAACAAGAUCUAAGAAGAGAUGAUCAUUAGUAUAAGAAAUAAUGCACGUUCUAUUUUUUUUCUUCUAAGCAACGGCACAGAGAUGCUUAAGAGUAGAAGACAGAGAUAUCGCACUUUUUCAUACUUUGUACCUCUACGUAAGGGAAUAUAGUUAUGCUCAACAGGACGAGAGGCAUAACGCAUGUUUGCUUUUUUGAUCUUCUUGAGGCUAUAGAGAUGCCCAGCCAAAGAAGAGAGGAAUAACGCAGUUUUUACCUUCUUGUGCCUCUAUUCAAGUGCAGAGAGAUUGCUGAUGGUACAAAAAGAUAAAUAAUGUGUUUUCAGCUCCUGCUUAUAUGAUCAACUCAAGAGAAAAGGAAUGAUGCAUUUUUACUAUUCUUUUUAUUCAAGGGUAGAGGGGAGACAAGAUGAAGGCCUUGAUUUCCUUCGUCCCUCCCUGCUUAGAUACAUUAUAGUCCUCUGCUUUUAUAUUCUUUUCAACGGUGCAGGAGAGGAUUAAUGCGCCUUUCACCUUUCUUUCUUUAUUCAAGGGUAUAGAGAGAAAGAGGAAGGAGAGAUUAGUUCGGAAGGUACGUAACAGCCGCUCAAAGGGACGAAAGCAAACGCGUGUAUAUAGUGUACAGAGGUGGUUUAUGGUGCCCGUCCUUCCCUUCCGCCCUUCCCUCUCACAGCAUCGACACCCGCUAAAAGUUUCCCCUUCCAUCCUAUAUUCCUGAGAGAGAGAGAGAGAGAGAGAGAGAGAGCAACGUUGCCAGAUAGUCGUACUCAGCCGAUUAUAUUUCCCGACUUCCUACCCCCAAACUGUAUUCUGGGCUCCAAUAACGAAACAAAUUUAUAGUUAUCGUUAAAAGAGUUAGAUCCUGAUGUUUCUUGGCAAUAGUUAGGCGUCAGAAACCGGUAAAUACUAUGCUCUGAGUACGACAAUCUGGCAACGGUGAGAGAGCGAGCGUGAGAGCGAGCGUGAGAGCGAGAGCGAGCGUGAGAGCGAGAGAGCGAGAGAGAGAGAGAAAUAUAUAUAACUUGAAUAGAAGAAUGUGUAUAGAAACGGCAUAAACAAAACUGUUAAGCGUCCCGUCAAAAAAGUCUGCGGUUUCAUUGAUCCCUAUUUGACACAUCUCGCGGGCAGGGAAAACUCAAUUCUCUAAAGGACCACAGACAGUGAGUAUCACACGAUCGGAAUUCCUUUAACAACAUUCCAUCACUAGGAAGCAAUAGAAACCCGUAAAGUUAGAUUGGUUAUAGGAAAGAACGGAUGGUCGGCAGCUUUUUCCCACGCGCGAGAACCAGGAAAAGGAAGAGAGAAAUGAUAUGGUUGAGUACGGUAGAUUUUCACGGAAUAGAUAAGGGUGUGUUGAGUUGGUUGAGAGAGUGGGUUAGCUAUAGGAACUCGACGGAAAUACAUGUGAUCGUGGCUGCGUAGUGAGUGAGGCUCCCCAGGGUUCCGUAUAUUAUUG
This is a long non-coding RNA of Eriocheir sinensis (Chinese mitten crab), 2173 nucleotides long. RefSeq lists it as uncharacterized. NCBI's taxonomy places the organism in Eukaryota, Metazoa, Arthropoda, Malacostraca, Decapoda, Varunidae. The record is from RefSeq and is a predicted model, not a curated record. The transcript has 3 exons.